GGAGGGAGCAGCAGCAGCAGCAGCCGGACUCCUCCGGGGGGGGGGGGGAAGCGUGAGGUGCCGCCGCCGUUCAGCUGACAGGAGUUCCUGCCGGGGAGGGAGGGAGGGGGGAAGGAGCGAGCGGAGGAGGGAGGGGAGAGGAGGACGUAUAGAGAGAGUCUCUUGCGUGAGGAAGGCUCGCGCGCCGCGGAGUGGCGGGAACGGCGCGCGGAGCUGAGGCGAGGCGAAUUGCUGUCCUCAGGUUGGAAAAGCAUUUCUAUUAAAAGACAAAGAAUGGCAUUCCUGCCUCCUCAUCUCUCAUUUAACUGGACCUUUGUUUUCCAUUGCUGCGUGGAAAUACCAAGACUGAGAUGACUCCGAACAGAACCAGACAAGGGAGAGGAUUCUUCUAGAAGAAUCUCUAGUUGAGACAUGGCAGCAGUGUUCCUAUAUCUCAGGGACUGCCACAAAGAAGAGGGAGUCAAGCUAUUCUCCAAAGCACCUGAGAACAAGAAGCAA
This is a long non-coding RNA of Thamnophis elegans (Western terrestrial garter snake), 498 nucleotides long. RefSeq lists it as uncharacterized. The transcript has 4 exons. NCBI's taxonomy places the organism in Eukaryota, Metazoa, Chordata, Lepidosauria, Squamata, Natricidae. The record is from RefSeq and is a predicted model, not a curated record.